This 405-nucleotide ribosomal RNA is filed under the name uncultured bacterium. Its description in RNAcentral is "partial 16S ribosomal RNA". It matches the Rfam family "Bacterial small subunit ribosomal RNA", at positions 30 to 526 of the family's 1533-position model. The record is from RNAcentral.
AUUGAACGCUAGCGGGAUGCUUUACACAUGCAAGUCGGACGAGUGGCGGACGGGUGAGGAAUAUAUCGGAACGUGCCCAGUAGCGGCGGAUAACUACUCGAAAGAGUGGCUAAUACGUCAUAAUAUUGGAGCGCCCGAUAUCGGAUUAGCUAGUUGGUGGGGUAAAUGCUCACCAAGGCAACGAUCCGUAGCUGGUUUGAGAGGACGACCUGGCCAACUGGGACUGAGAAACGGCCCAGAAGCGUACGGGAGGCGGCAGGGGGGAAUGUGGGACAAUGGGGGAAGCCCUGAACCAGCCAUCCCGCGUGUAUGAGAAGGCCUUAGGGUAGUAAAGUACGUUUGACAGAGAGGCGGUCUAUUUAGAAUCAGCACCGGCUAACUACGUGCCAGCAGCCGCGGUAAUAC